Molecule: ribosomal RNA, 253 nt
Filed under: uncultured bacterium
Lineage: Bacteria
Description: partial 16S ribosomal RNA
Rfam family: Bacterial small subunit ribosomal RNA
Source: RNAcentral
UACGUAGGGGGCAAGCGUUGUCCGGAAUCAUUGGGCGUAAAGCGCGUGUAGGCGGUCCGGUAAGUCGGCUGUGAAAGUCCAGGGCUCAACCCUGGGAUGCCGGUCGAUACUGCCGGACUAGAGUUCGGAAGAGGCGAGUGGAAUUCCCGGUGUAGCGGUGAAAUGCGCAGAUAUCAGGAAGAACACCAAUGGCGAAGGUAGCUCUCUGGGACGGUACUGACGCUGAGACGCGAAAGCGUGGGGAGCGAACAGG